RNAcentral lists this ribosomal RNA (515 nucleotides) under uncultured Azospirillum sp. Its description in RNAcentral is "bacterial SSU rRNA". It matches the Rfam family "Bacterial small subunit ribosomal RNA", at positions 969 to 1486 of the family's 1533-position model. The record is from RNAcentral. Lineage: Bacteria; Pseudomonadati; Pseudomonadota; Alphaproteobacteria; Rhodospirillales; Azospirillaceae.
CCUUACCAACCCUUGACAUGCCUUGACCGCCACAGAGAUGUGGUUUUCCUUUCGGGGACAGGGACACAGGUGCUGCAUGGCUGUCGUCAGCUCGUGUCGUGAGAUGUUGGGUUAAGUCCCGCAACGAGCGCAACCCCCACUGUUAGUUGCCAGCAUUUAGUUGGGCACUCUAGCAGAACUGCCGGUGACAAGCCGGAGGAAGGCGGGGAUGACGUCAAGUCCUCAUGGCCCUUACGGGUUGGGCUACACACGUGCUACAAUGGUGGUGACAGUGGGCAGCGACCACGCGAGCGGAAGCGAAUCUCCAAAAGCCAUCUCAGUUCGGAUUGCACUCUGCAACUCGGGUGCAUGAAGUUGGAAUCGCUAGUAAUCGCGGAUCAGCACGCCGCGGUGAAUACGUUCCCGGGCCUUGUACACACCGCCCGUCACACCAUGGGAGUUGGCUUUACCUGAAGCCGGUGCGCUAACCGCAAGGAGGCAGCCGACCACGGUACGGUCAGCGACUGGGGUGAAGU